Molecule: long non-coding RNA, 1069 nt
Filed under: Gallus gallus (chicken)
Lineage: Eukaryota; Metazoa; Chordata; Aves; Galliformes; Phasianidae
Description: long non-coding RNA NONGGAT003255
Source: RNAcentral
CUCUCCCAACCCGUAGCCCGUCGCGUUGAACCUUGGCCAGCUCCUCAUCGGUGGCUUUGGGAGGGCCGGGGACGUGGGGGUCAGUUGGCACAGCAACUGCUACACGGGGACAAAAGGAGGCUUUCGUGGCGGCGGCAGCAGCAGCUGCCAGCCCGAAUAGCAAAUCCACACGGCUUGGCACCACUCCAGCUUCCUUGAGGGUUGCAGAGGGAUGGUAUGUUGGAGGGGCACCCAGGCUGAGCUAAUGACUCUCCUCCCUCCACAUCCCUCUCCCAGAGUGAGGCUGAAUGUGAUGGGAUCUCUGUGGCUGUCAUUAAGAGCCAACGUGUGAGCAGGAUCGUUCCAAUUCUCUGCAGCAUUGUGCAUAGGGAUGUCUCUGAGCCAGGUUUGGAGCAGCUCCAGCUCUGUCUGUGCCUUCCAGAGAACUUGGGUAGGUUUUGUUUGGUGCCUCCAUCCAUCUGCUGGUGCAGGGCUGACGUGUAAGCACUGCUGUGAGCCCCUCUCACCCUUCUCAGCUGCUGUGCUGCCACUUGGCACUGAAGCUAUUGCAAAGCUGAGGCUGAACAAGCUUUUACUUCUUUAAGGACAUCAUAAUGCCACGUGUUGAGCUGCUAAGCUGGGAUCCCUUUCCCAAGCUGUAGAUGAGCAGAAGUUGGGCACUGCCCAGUCCAUGUCCUGCACCCUGAAAGGCAGCCUGGUGGGUGCCCAUCACGGGUAUUGAUUAUAACAAAACCACAUUUCAGCACACUGGAUAUUGGUGGUAGAAUCACAGAAUCAUUCUGGUUGGUAAAGACCACUAGGAUCAUCUAGUCCAACCAUCAACCCAUCACCACCAUAACUGGAAAUGGAAUUGGUAAUUGGAAAUGGUGAUGCCGAGUUCCUAUUGGGACUGAAUGAGGGCCAUUCCCUGCCCUGUCCAGCUCCCUCAUCCACACCCAGCUCUGCUUUUGGCUCCACGUACGUCUGUCCCGAUCCUGAGCAGUCUGAAAUGUGCCAUAGUCAAUGAUUGACACCAGAGAUGUUUCUGUAAAAUAAUGACUGCAUCUUCUUGGCUUUACUUCAAAGUUUC